CCUACGGGAGGCAGCAGUGGGGAAUAUUGGGCAAUGGGCGCAAGCCUGACCCAGCAACGCCGCGUGAAGGAAGAAGGCUUUCGGGUUGUAAACUUCUUUUCUCAGGGACGAAGCAAGUGACGGUACCUGAGGAAUAAGCCACGGCUAACUACGUGCCAGCAGCCGCGGUAAUACGUAGGUGGCAAGCGUUAUCCGGAUUUACUGGGUGUAAAGGGCGUGUAGGCGGGACAGCAAGUCAGAUGUGAAAACUAUGGGCUCAACCUGUGGCCUGCAUUUGAAACUGUUUUUCUUGAGUACUGGAGAGGCAGACGGAAUUCCUAGUGUAGCGGUGAAAUGCGUAGAGAUUAGGAGGAACACCAGUGGCGAAGGCGAUCUGCUGGACAGCAACUGACGCUGAGGCGCGAAAGCGUGGGGAGCAAACAGGAUUAGAUACCCGAGUAGUC
Molecule: ribosomal RNA, 443 nt
Filed under: uncultured bacterium
Lineage: Bacteria
Description: partial 16S ribosomal RNA
Rfam family: Bacterial small subunit ribosomal RNA
Source: RNAcentral